Molecule: ribosomal RNA, 642 nt
Filed under: uncultured fungus
Lineage: Eukaryota; Fungi
Description: eukaryotic LSU rRNA
Rfam family: 5.8S ribosomal RNA (bases 233-386)
Source: RNAcentral
AGUAAAAGUCGUAACAAGGUUUCCGUAGGUGAACCUGCGGAAGGAUCAUUACCGAGUUUUGAAAGGGUUGUAGCUGGUCCUCCGGGGCACGUGCACACCCGCUCAUCCACUCUACACCUGUGAACUAUUGUAGGUCGGCGUCGGGGCUCCUUAUGGGGUCUUACGGCUUCCUAUGUCUUCUACAAACCACGUCAGUUUUCAGAAUGUAAACGCGAUAAUACGCAUCAUAUACAACUUUCAGCAACGGAUCUCUUGGCUCUCGCAUCGAUGAAGAACGCAGCGAAAUGCGAUAAGUAAUGUGAAUUGCAGAAUUCAGUGAAUCAUCGAAUCUUUGAACGCACCUUGCGCUCCUCGGCAUUCCGUGGAGCAUGCCUGUUUGAGUGUCGUGAAAUUCUCAACCCCUCGUCCCUUGCGGGAAGGGUGGGCUUGGAUUUGGAGGCUUUGCCGGCGAUGUCGUUGGCUCCUCUCAAAAGCAUUAGCCCAGUUCCUUACGGAUCGGCUCCCGACGUGAUAGUUGUCUACGUCGUGACUGUGAAGUGCCUGGCAGGCUUCUAAUCGUCCCUAGCGGGACAAUCACUUUGAAUCUGACCUCAAAUCAGGUAGGACUACCCGCUGAACUUAAGCAUAUCAAUAAGCGGAGGA